AGUGAACGCUGGCGGUAGGCCUAACACAUGCAAGUCGAACGGCAGCACAGUAAGAGCUUGCUCUUACGGGUGGCGAGUGGCGGACGGGUGAGGAAUACAUCGGAAUCUACUUUUUCGUGGGGGAUAACGUAGGGAAACUUACGCUAAUACCGCAUACGACCUACGGGUGAAAGCAGGGGAUCUUCGGACCUUGCGCGAUUGAAUGAGCCGAUGUCGGAUUAGCUAGUUGGCGGGGUAAAGGCCCACCAAGGCGACGAUCCGUAGCUGGUCUGAGAGGAUGGAGCGGCACACUGGAGCUGAGACACGGUCCAGGCUCCUACGGGAGGCAGCGAUUGGGAAUAUUGGAAAAUGGGCGCAAGGCUGAACCAGCCAUACCGGGUGGGUGAAGAAGGCCCUCGGGUUGGAAAGCCCUUUUGUUGGGAAAGAAAAGCAGCAGGUUAAUACCCCGCUGUUCUGACGGUACCCAAAGAAUAAGCACCGGCUAACUUCGU
This 491-nucleotide ribosomal RNA is filed under the name uncultured bacterium. Its description in RNAcentral is "partial 16S ribosomal RNA". It matches the Rfam family "Bacterial small subunit ribosomal RNA", at positions 29 to 506 of the family's 1533-position model. The record is from RNAcentral.